Molecule: ribosomal RNA, 585 nt
Filed under: uncultured bacterium
Lineage: Bacteria
Description: bacterial SSU rRNA
Rfam family: Bacterial small subunit ribosomal RNA
Source: RNAcentral
ACGGGUGAGUAAUGCAUGGGAACGUGCCUCUAAGAGGGGGAUAACUACGGGAAACUGUAGCUAAUACCGCAUAAUAUCGAGAGAUUAAAGGUGGCCUCUACUUGUAAGCUACUACUUAGAGAUCGGCCCAUGUCCCAUUAGCUAGUUGGCGGGGUAACGGCCCACCAAGGCUACGAUGGGUAGCUGGUCUGAGAGGAUGAUCAGCCACACUGGAACUGAGACACGGUCCAGACUCCUACGGGAGGCAGCAGUGGGGAAUUUUGCACAAUGGAGGAAACUCUGAUGCAGCAACGCCGCGUGAGUGAAGAAGGCCUUUGGGUUGUAAAGCUCUUUCGGUUGGGAAGAAGGGUAGUAUGGCUAAUAUCCAUGUUAUUUGACGGUACCAAAAUAAGAAGCACCUGCUAACUUCGUGCCAGCAGCAGCGGUAAUACGAAGGGUGCAAGCGUUGUUCGGAAUUACUGGGCGUAAAGGGCGCGUAGGCUGGUUUGUAAGUCUAAUGUGAAAUCCCCGGGCUUAACCCGGGACGUGCAUUGGAAACUGCAGAUCUUGAAUGCUUAAGAGGGUGGUGGAAUUCCAGGAGUAGAA